GGAGGAGCCAGACUGUAAGAGAGGAGCAGACACAGACACUUGAGAGGAUUUGAGCUUUUAAGAUGGAGUCUGCCCUGUGUACACUGCUCUCAGCUCUGGUUGUGCUCCUGUGUUCUUCCCCAGAGUGUAAAGGAGAAGACACAGUGACCCAGACACAAGGAGACGCCUCUGUCCCUCAGGGACACACAGCCACAAUACAGUGCACUUUUAAAACACUGGACAGUGAUCCACGUCUGUUCUGGUACAAGCAGGAAAAUGGGGGCUUUCCAAAAUAUAUGAUGAGAAGAUUCAAGUCUGGAUUCUCAGAUAAUUCACAGAAGUUCAAAAAACCCAAGUUUGAUGCUGAGUUGAAGGAGACCUCUUUCUCUCUGAAGAUCCAGGAUGUGGAUGUGACAGACUCUGCUGUGUACUACUGUGCUCUGAGGCCCACAGUGACAGGAAACACCAAAACUCUGAACAAAAACCUCUGGAGCAAAGACAACACAAUCCUGCAGUAG
Molecule: non-coding RNA, 497 nt
Organism: Periophthalmus magnuspinnatus
Lineage: Eukaryota; Metazoa; Chordata; Actinopteri; Gobiiformes; Gobiidae
Source: the annotation of a RefSeq genome assembly